CAGGCACAAGCUGGUCCUUAACGUUUUAACUCUAUAUACAUCACCCCGUCUGGACAGUCCACCCGUUCCUGGCACUGCCGGCAAACAUGCCGCAGAUGACUAGUCUCGUCUCGACACCGAGCUCUACACCUGCGGCAGUACCAGGUGCCAAGUCUUGACGACGAAAGGUCAAUCAAGCUGUCUGUGGCUCAUUUACGUCACCACCCAUCGACCCUCUCCGACACAGGAUAGAGUGCUCACACCUCGAAAGGAUAGACUUGUUACCGCUCUGCCGCCUCGGUGGCACACGCUCCUCCGCUAACGACGAUGAGCGCUUCUACCUCAAGAACUACGUUGGCUAAUCGUGUACGCCUAGCCAAACCAAAAACACAAUCAAAGACCCGUAAUAACAUCUAGAGUAGAGCCGCACCAAAAGGAAAACGUCGAUGGCCACCUCUACGUCCUGACACGACCUCCUCCUACACUUGCUAUCGCUGUAUGGGAACCUCGUGGCGGACGGCCGCUCGACUGCCGGAACAGACGUAGUUCACGCCCGUACGUCUAGACACACCGUCUCCACCGAGGUGUCCUCCGUCGACAUCUUUGUCGAGUUCGUAGGCUCAUAAGUAACCUCGUUUUAGCUGGGUUUUUCAGGUCCAACCUGCGCAUCUCAUUCCUAACCAUGACGACUCGGACUAUCUUUUGGUAAGGGUCCUUCCCAAAGUCGUCACCUUACAAAACGACUUUUGGGGCUGUUGUUACAGUGAUGGUUUUGAUCCCUAAUUGAAACUAUGUGACCCUCGUCAGAUUUACACGUCUCCUGUUUUAUGUACGUCCUCUACCAGACGCCAACACGCUCCCCUUCGAUUAUCAACUCUUGUGCGUGAGAACGGCAAACACUUACGGGACGAGAGUAUCCUGAUAAUGCAAGUUUCCUGUUACCAACCAUGUACCGGCUCGUAGUGCUCCUCGUGUUGGUGAGCGAAAGAGGGUGAAUACCAGUCUGUUAUGUAAUCUACAGUGUGUUUGUAUAUCUACACAUGUUGUCCCUAAACCACUUUUUGGACGUCGUCUUUUAACACUUGGAUCGUUUCCAUAUGUUGUAAUAGCCAAAACCCUUUUACCUAUUACACGGAACGUUUUUCUCGAGAUACCUUGGACACACUUUUAUUCGGCACUUGUUCGUCUUCUACUCUGUUACUUCCACAAAGUUCUCGAACCAAGGUUUCUAGUUGUGAAGUGAAUAGCCCAAGUUCGACUGUUCCUCCCCUCCUAGUUGUCAGACUUCACCCGAUUACACUUGUUGUUUAACGUCAUGUGGAAGCCUUGUUGUAUAUCCUAUUUAGAUUUGCUGUACGGAAAACCAGAUAAACAACCUCACUUUUUAGUAAAAGUCUCGUCCGCACGAACAAACACUACUCUGUCAACUUUGUAAACACAAUUUCUUGAUACACGGUUGUCCCCAUAAGACGCGGUUCUACUCAUCAUGUGUUGUGUCGUUCUCACGUUUAGUAUAUAAUUUCUUGAUACGCGGUGGUCCUACGGGGUACGAAUACGAACACUCUUUAAUAUACUCCAACGUCAAACUGUCCCUUCAUCUUCUCUUCAUGCUCCUCUUCGCCUGCUCUUAACAUUAUACCAAAGUAAUAAAUGAUAUGUUUAUAAAUCAACACAAACUGUACCUGGUAGUACCCACGUAACGUUCCAAACUAUUGACAACGGUUAAGUCUUCCCCCUAAACGGAGUAACUUCUAUGUCUAUUUACUAAAAGACUGGAGUAUAGCUAAGAGUGAAGGUAAGGAGUACAGAGGAUACAGAACACAGAGAAUGUAUCCGUCUUGCUGGACCCGGCAUCUAAUAUGCCACUUGCUCCCGCCGCCGUUGUGAUCUCGCGCUGUUCCGACCAACUCCAUAUUAAAUAAAUUUAGUAAAUGAAUGUCUGAUUACAAGCGAUACGAAGAGAAUCACUUGCGCACAUUAAAACACACUCUCGUAGUACCCACGUGACGAUUAAAUUAUUAGAAUCGUUACAUUACAAUUAGGUGGAUUAUUCUAUAUUAUCGAUGUUAAUCGUCUGUACGUAGGUAGAAGUACAAAGAUACCAUAAUUAGUAAACCCUCAUUUAAACGAUUGGGGUCUAGGACUUUAUAUGAAAAAAAUAGUCAAAACGAUCUUGAGUAGAUCUACUCUAUAUUAAACCAGAGUAAGUGGAAAAUAUCGGUAACCUACACUACGAUAUUCUACGCACACACGACUGCACCUAACAUAGACAAGAACAAAAGUUUCACUUACUCUGGUUUAAUAUAGAGUAGAUCUACUCAAGAUCCAUGAGGGAAAAAAAUAUCUUGAGAUGUAGAGCGACCUCACUUGAACAAAGGGUCUACAGAGUACGGUUUCAGACUCCGUGAACGCAUGAAUCGGUACGGUAAUUCUUCGGUUUAGGUAUCCACCAUAAGUAGGCGUGACAACGGACUGACACUUCGAGGCGGUGGUACGCUUUGGGAUAGUUCGG
RNAcentral lists this ribosomal RNA (2491 nucleotides) under Triticum aestivum (bread wheat). RNAcentral describes it as "partial small subunit ribosomal RNA". The record is from RNAcentral. Lineage: Eukaryota; Viridiplantae; Streptophyta; Magnoliopsida; Poales; Poaceae.